UCCCAUUUUUCUGAUGUGUUCAAUUCUGUCAUUCACCUGUUAGGGCUGAGAGAGAUCAAUAUGUCAGGAGGCUGUUACACUUGGUCUAAUAAACAGGAGAACCCUACCCUAGAAAAUUUGGAUAGGGUGUUGAUGUCAUCUGAUUGGGAGGAUUUAUAUCCUCUUGUUUCAGUUCAUAAAAUGGUCAAGAUUUCUGAUCAUAACCCACUUCUCCUAGAUGGGGGGGGGGUGGCACCAUCUAGGGCCCCGGGGAAUAGAUGCUUUAAAUUUGAUAAUGCCUGGCUGAGUAACCCAGACUUUCUCCCCUUGGUGGCUGAGAUC
This 321-nucleotide ribosomal RNA is filed under the name Triticum aestivum (bread wheat). Its description in RNAcentral is "partial small subunit ribosomal RNA". The record is from RNAcentral. Lineage: Eukaryota; Viridiplantae; Streptophyta; Magnoliopsida; Poales; Poaceae.